GACGAACGCUGGCGGCGUGCUUAACACAUGCAAGUCGAACGGAAAGGCCCUGCUUUUGUGGGGUUCUCGCGUGGCGAACGGGUGAGUAACACGUGAGUAACCUGCCCUUGACUUUGGGAUAACUUCAGGAAACUGGGGCUAAUACCGGAUAGGAGCUCCUGCUGCAUGGUGGGGGUUGGACAGUUUCGGCGGUAGGGGAUGGACUCGGGGCUUAUCAGCUUGUUGGUGGGGUAGUGGCUUACCAAGGCUUUGACGGGUAGCCGGCAUGGGAGGGUGAACAGCGACAUUGCGACUGAGAGACGGCGCAGAGGGGUACGUGAGGCAGUAGUGGGGAAUAUGGCACAAUGGGCGGAAGUGUGAGGCAGAAACGCCGCGUGCGGGAUGACGGCCUUCGGGGGGUAAACCGCUGUAGGCUGAGACGAAGCGGGAGUGACGGUAAUGGGUAAAGAAGCACCGGCUAACUACGUG
This 468-nucleotide ribosomal RNA is filed under the name uncultured bacterium. RNAcentral describes it as "partial 16S ribosomal RNA". It matches the Rfam family "Bacterial small subunit ribosomal RNA", at positions 28 to 507 of the family's 1533-position model. The record is from RNAcentral.